GCGAAAUACAAGGAGAGACACAAUUAUAUUCAUUGCAAGUGAAAAUUAAAGCAAUAAAUCUAAAAAAUGAAAUGACCCUCUGUCACUAUCAGUGUGUCACUAUUAGUGUUCACACUGAAUAAGAUGAGCAACUGGAGAGUCAUGAAUAUGAUCAGGUCUCUGAUCAGUCAAUGGCAAAACAAUGGGAGUUCUGGGCUGCUCUUCUCCACCAUGGAAACAAAAGGGGUUUUGGCGUCAGGUACCAGCGGAGGCAGCACAAGCUGUAUGGGGCUCUAUGUAACAUAGGGUGGAGGGGGAGAAAAAUGUGCUGGGAGCCAGAAAGGGCUGCCAGUACCAGCUGUUAUGAUACCAAACAGGAAGACGAGCUGUCCAUGCAUUCCUGCCAACUCUGAGGUCCAGUCUGUGGCCAGAAUGGAACUGAGCACUGCAAUGCAUGUUUUAAGAAUUGUUGUCAAACAAGGAAAUAAAUGCAAAUGUUCUCCCA
This 484-nucleotide long non-coding RNA is filed under the name Vulpes vulpes (red fox). Its description in RNAcentral is "lncRNA (ENSVVUG00000021189.1)". The record is from RNAcentral. Lineage: Eukaryota; Metazoa; Chordata; Mammalia; Carnivora; Canidae.